UACAUAGGUAACCUACGCCUCGGACUGGGAUAAUUCCUGGAAACGGGUUGUAAUACCAGAUGGUCUGGUUGUUCCGCAUGGAGUGGCCAGUAAAUGGUACCAUUGGUUCUGCCGAGGAAGGGGUCUAUGUCCUAUUAGCUUGUUGGUGAGGUAACGGCUCACCAAGGCUUUGAUGGGUAGCCGGACUGAGAGGUUGGCCGGUCACACUGGGACUGAGACACUGCCCAGACUCCUACGGGAGGCUGCAGUCGAGAAUCUUCCGCAAUGGACGAAAGUCUGACGGGGCGACGCCGCGUGAACGAAGAAGGCCUUCCGGGUUGUAAAGUUCUGUCAGGAGGGAAGAAACGGUAGGGGUUAAUAGCCUUCUAUCUUGACGUUACCUCUAGAGGAAGCCCUGGCUAACUCCGUGCCAGCAGCCGCGGUAAUACGGAGAGGGCAAGCGUUGUUCGGAAUCACUGGGCAUAAAGGGCACGUAGGCGGAUCAGAAAGUCGGUUGUGAAAGCCCGGGGCUCAACCCCGGAACUGCUUCCGAAACUUCUAGUCUAGAGGAUGAGAGGGGAGAGUGGAACUUCUGGUGGAGCGGUGAAAUGCGUAGAUAUCAGAAGGAACACCGGUGGCGAAAGCGACUCUCUGGCUCGUUUCUGACGCUGAGGUGCGAAAGCUUGGGUAGCGAACGGGAUUAGAUACCCCGGUAGUCCAAGCCGUAAACGAUGAGCACUAGGUAGGGGAGGCUCUGACGUCUUCCCUGCUGUAGCUAAUGUGUUAAGUGCUCCGCCUGGGGAGUAUGGUCGCAAGGCUAAAACUCAAAGGAAUUGACGGGGCUCACACAAGCGGUGGAGGAUGUGGCUUAAUUCGAGCCUACGCGAAGAACCUUAUCCUAGCCUUGACAUGCUUAGGAAUUUCGGUGAAAGCGGAUGACCUUCGGGGGACUUGCACAGGUGCUGCAUGGCUGUCGUCAGCUCGUGUCGUGAGAUGUCGGGUUAAGUCCCUUAACGAGCGAAACCCUUGUCCUUAGUUGCCAGCGAGUAAAGUCGGGGACUCUAAGGAGACUGCCGGUGUUAAACCGGAGGAAGGUGGGGAUGACGUCAAGUCCUCAUGGCCUUUAUGAUCAGGGCUGCACACGUCCUACAAUGCGGCAUACAAAGGGAAGCGAACCCGUGAGGGGGAGCAAACCCCAAAAAGUGUCGCUCAGUUCGGAUUGCAGGCUGCAACUCGCCUGCAUGAAGCUGGAAUCGCUAGUAAUCGCGGGUCAGCAUACCGCGGUGAAUGUGUUCCUGAGCC
Molecule: ribosomal RNA, 1281 nt
Filed under: uncultured prokaryote
Description: partial 16S ribosomal RNA
Rfam family: Bacterial small subunit ribosomal RNA
Source: RNAcentral